GGAUUAGAUACCCUGGUAGUCCACGCCGUAAACGUUGAAUACUCGAUCUUAGCGAUACACAGUUAGGAUCCAAGCGAAAGCGUUAAGUAUUCCACCUGGGAAGUACGAUCGCAAGAUUGAAACUCAAAGGAAUUGACGGGGGCCCGCACAAGCGGAGGAGCAUGUGGUUUAAUUCGAUGAUACGCGAGGAACCUUACCUGGGCUUGAAUGUGAGUGACCGAUGCCGAAAGGUGUCUUCCCUUCGGGGCACAAAACAAGGUGCUGCAUGGCUGUCGUCAGCUCGUGUUG
RNAcentral lists this ribosomal RNA (288 nucleotides) under uncultured bacterium. RNAcentral describes it as "partial 16S ribosomal RNA". It matches the Rfam family "Bacterial small subunit ribosomal RNA", at positions 775 to 1067 of the family's 1533-position model. The record is from RNAcentral.